UACCACCUACGUUGCAACACACCUCAUCUUACGGGGGUGGAGAGCGACGAUCCUAGAAGUGUGGCUACAAACGCGCGCUCCCCCUCCCCCCGUGACGGCAAAACAAAAGAGUACGAAGAAGAGAACUGGUACUAUAACAGAAUGCUACUCGUGCAGGUCCCAGUCUAAGGGCCGCUUAAUCGCCAAUUAAACAACAUAGGGUCACGAUACAAUCCGUAGUUGCGUUCUCGUACGUAGUCCGAGAACGCACAAAAGGAUGGACAAGCUUCGCGGGACCAAUAGAGGUCGCUAUUUUCUAGAGCGACGGUGGCAGUUUUAAAAGCUGGGGGUGGCUCCCGCAAAAGUAGAAAAGUGGGAAAACGGGUACACACACCAACCGGGACCAACCUGCUCCCGCGGACGAAGAGAAGUGAGGGGGCUAACCCACUUUGGGAUCGGUUGCGAGGGGUUAGGGGUAGUGUAGGGAGAGGAAGCGAGGGCGGCGGCGCGAGGGCAGGAGGGAAGGGGGGGAAGGGUCAGCGGCGUGCUCCACCUGACGCUGGGUGCGGGGACAGCAGAGGAGACGGGUCGGUUAGUGGGGAGGAGACACACGGAGGGAGGAGGAGGAGGAGGAGUAACCCUGGCCCGUUCCCCUACUCACGCCCGGCGUCUCUGCUGUUCCACCGACUCGAUAGGUGCCGCGGCAGUAGCUACUCUGCGAGUAGGUGUGCGCCGUUCGGAACCUGAUCCUGCGCGGUGCUCUUCGUCUGCCCCUCCGGUAACGGUCCACGCGGGGAGAGGGAGGGAGAGGAGAGAGGGAGAGAGUCUACGUUAGGUUGCUGGAGACGUAAAGGAAAGCGUGAUGUCGACCAGGCUCUAGACUCGCGUGGGCAGCGGCGGCGGCAAGCAACAGGUGAACCGACGUCGGUAGGGGUUCUUCUCCCCUACAGUGCCGUCGCCCUAGGAGCGGACAGAGGUGAGGGAGUGGAGGGGCAAGACGACCGUUCCCACACCAUAGGGUACCCCCCACGAAGAGCGAGCUCCUCAUUGGUGAGGUCUCGUCCUCGUCCUGUCCAUAUACCAAGGACGCACACACCAAACCACAGACCCAAAAAGGGUUAAGGUCAGGUCUUCGUACCUAAAUCCCUAAUAGAAUGAACCAAAACCCACGCCGACGACCAUCCGUUUGGUAAAACAUUCCCGGAGAUAGACACGUGGUACUAAAAUCAGAAGUCCUUGGUAUUCUUACCUCUUCAAGGUCUUUUCAAACAGCUAGUCGAGUACUAAUAUGAACUCCCUUCCUAGAUACUUUAAGCUUCUCAACAUGGUUCCGGAUGGUGAAGAAACCGGCGGUUACAUUAAAGAUAGGUCGCGGAUAGAGAGAAUGGUCGAAGGUUCCCUCAGGCCCCACUGCUCCCACUACCGUGACCGAGGCUGUAUUGUCUCAGUACGGCGGAUUCCAAAAUAACCAGGUACUGUUACCCAUAUCGUUUGGCUAAUCACGCCACACGAAACUUCUCUCGGUUUUCCUUCUCUCUCCGCUCACAUGUACUGGACUUCUGCCGUUCCGUUGUGAAGGUGCUGCUGCAGUUGUAGCAGCACCAGAUAGAAGUCGCCGUGGCCGUGGCCCGGCAGUCUAGUCCCAGUACCUCGCUUAUGUACCAGACU
This 1647-nucleotide ribosomal RNA is filed under the name Triticum aestivum (bread wheat). Its description in RNAcentral is "partial small subunit ribosomal RNA". The record is from RNAcentral. Lineage: Eukaryota; Viridiplantae; Streptophyta; Magnoliopsida; Poales; Poaceae.